AGCAGCCGCGGUAAUUCCAGCUCCAAUAGCGUAUAUUAAAGUUGUUGCAGUUAAAAAGCUCGUAGUUGAAUUUCGGGAUCAAUUAAUUGGUCGUGCCUCUGGUACGUACUGAUUUUAUUGGUUUCUCCCUUCUGACGAACCAUGAUGUCAUUAAUUUGGUGUCGUGGAGAAUCAGGACUGUUACUUUGAAAAAUUAGAGUGUUUAAAGCAAGCUAACGCUUGAAUACAUUAGCAUGGAAUAAUGAAAUAGGACGUUUGAUCCUAUUUUGUUGGUUUCUAGGAUCGACGUAAUGAUUAAUAGGGAUAGUUGGGGGCAUUAGUAUUCAAUUGUCAGAGGUGAAAUUCUUGGAUUUAUUGAAGACUAACUACUGCGAAAGCAUUUGCCAAGGAUGUUUUCAUUAAUCAAGAACGAAAGUUAGGGGAUCGAAGACGAUCAGAUACCGUCGUAGUCUUAACCAUAAA
RNAcentral lists this ribosomal RNA (462 nucleotides) under uncultured Glomus. RNAcentral describes it as "SSU rRNA". It matches the Rfam family "Eukaryotic small subunit ribosomal RNA", at positions 569 to 1036 of the family's 1831-position model. The record is from RNAcentral. Lineage: Eukaryota; Fungi; Glomeromycota; Glomeromycetes; Glomerales; Glomeraceae.